This 1134-nucleotide ribosomal RNA is filed under the name Escherichia coli. RNAcentral's name for it is "partial 23S ribosomal RNA". It matches the Rfam family "Bacterial large subunit ribosomal RNA", at positions 598 to 1735 of the family's 2925-position model. The record is from RNAcentral. Lineage: Bacteria; Pseudomonadati; Pseudomonadota; Gammaproteobacteria; Enterobacterales; Enterobacteriaceae.
UGCGUACCUUUUGUAUAAUGGGUCAGCGACUUAUAUUCUGUAGCAAGGUUAACCGAAUAGGGGAGCCGAAGGGAAACCGAGUCUUAACUGGGCGUUAAGUUGCAGGGUAUAGACCCGAAACCCGGUGAUCUAGCCAUGGGCAGGUUGAAGGUUGGGUAACACUAACUGGAGGACCGAACCGACUAAUGUUGAAAAAUUAGCGGAUGACUUGUGGCUGGGGGUGAAAGGCCAAUCAAACCGGGAGAUAGCUGGUUCUCCCCGAAAGCUAUUUAGGUAGCGCCUCGUGAAUUCAUCUCCGGGGGUAGAGCACUGUUUCGGCAAGGGGGUCAUCCCGACUUACCAACCCGAUGCAAACUGCGAAUACCGGAGAAUGUUAUCACGGGAGACACACGGCGGGUGCUAACGUCCGUCGUGAAGAGGGAAACAACCCAGACCGCCAGCUAAGGUCCCAAAGUCAUGGUUAAGUGGGAAACGAUGUGGGAAGGCCCAGACAGCCAGGAUGUUGGCUUAGAAGCAGCCAUCAUUUAAAGAAAGCGUAAUAGCUCACUGGUCGAGUCGGCCUGCGCGGAAGAUGUAACGGGGCUAAACCAUGCACCGAAGCUGCGGCAGCGACACUAUGUGUUGUUGGGUAGGGGAGCGUUCUGUAAGCCUGCGAAGGUGUACUGUGAGGUAUGCUGGAGGUAUCAGAAGUGCGAAUGCUGACAUAAGUAACGAUAAAGCGGGUGAAAAGCCCGCUCGCCGGAAGACCAAGGGUUCCUGUCCAACGUUAAUCGGGGCAGGGUGAGUCGACCCCUAAGGCGAGGCCGAAAGGCGUAGUCGAUGGGAAACAGGUUAAUAUUCCUGUACUUGGUGUUACUGCGAAGGGGGGACGGAGAAGGCUAUGUUGGCCGGGCGACGGUUGUCCCGGUUUAAGCGUGUAGGCUGGUUUUCCAGGCAAAUCCGGAAAAUCAAGGCUGAGGCGUGAUGACGAGGCACUACGGUGCUGAAGCAACAAAUGCCCUGCUUCCAGGAAAAGCCUCUAAGCAUCAGGUAACAUCAAAUCGUACCCCAAACCGACACAGGUGGUCAGGUAGAGAAUACCAAGGCGCUUGAGAGAACUCGGGUGAAGGAACUAGGCAAAAUGGUGCCGUAACU